RNAcentral lists this long non-coding RNA (490 nucleotides) under Heterocephalus glaber (naked mole-rat). RNAcentral's name for it is "lncRNA (ENSHGLG00100048918.1)". Lineage: Eukaryota; Metazoa; Chordata; Mammalia; Rodentia; Bathyergidae. The record is from RNAcentral.
GCAGGCGCUGGAACCACUGAGCUAAAUCCCCAGCCCAGACACAAGGAGAAUAGCGCCAACGACCCUCUCCUGAUUUAGUGCGAGAAAACCCGCAAGCAUCUAUUCCGUGCAAUAACAGAGAGGAUAGCCGUCACCAUGGCAACGGACAGCUCGGGAAGACAACCGCCCAGGCUCUCGGACUUCUCCGGGCGCCGAUUUUCCUCAGGAUAUGGCAACGAUUUCCAGGAGGCUCGCACACGACUUGUUUCAAUUAUUCUUCCAAGAACCGCCUUUCAUGAACAGACCUGGCUGGGGAUAGGAACUCAGGGCUCCAGUAAAGUAGAAUUAAAAAAAAAAAAUCAGUUCUCCUGAAAGCAGUCUAACAGCUCUCCCUUUCCCGUAACUGCUGGCCUCCCCCGGUACUGAGAAGGUAGACGGUCUCAUUCCUGUAAGCGAAGUUUUGUGACCCCUGAGGAGCCAUAUGCUCUGUAAACAACUAUGUUCUGUAAAC